RNAcentral lists this non-coding RNA (107 nucleotides) under human gut metagenome. RNAcentral describes it as "THF riboswitch". It matches the Rfam family "THF (Tetrahydrofolate) riboswitch aptamer". From Rfam's summary of the family: THF riboswitch presents a pseudoknot that joins P1-P2 and the loop of P3 and two THF binding. The record is from RNAcentral. RNAcentral also lists the same sequence under 1 other name.
AGAGUAGAAUUCCGAGCGUAUAGUGCUGUCGGGACGGGGAGUUGUCCGACAGACGAAAACAGCAAAAAGGCUUUUUGGCUGUUGCGGUUCGGUUUUCGCAUCCCGCU